This 253-nucleotide ribosomal RNA is filed under the name uncultured bacterium. Its description in RNAcentral is "partial 16S ribosomal RNA". It matches the Rfam family "Bacterial small subunit ribosomal RNA", at positions 524 to 776 of the family's 1533-position model. The record is from RNAcentral.
UACGGAGGGGGCAAGCGUUAUUCGGAAUCAUUGGGCGUAAAGCGCGCGCAGGCGGAUUGUUAAGUCGGAUGUGAAAUCCCGGGGCUCAACCUUGGGGCUGCAUCCGAAACUGGCGAUCUGGAGUCUCGGAGAGGUAGGCGGAAUAUCUGGUGUAGCGGUGAAAUGCGUAGAUAUCAGAUGGAACACCGAUGGCGAAGGCAGCCUACUGGACGAUGACUGACGCUCAGGCGCGAAAGCGUGGGGAGCAAACAGG